Molecule: ribosomal RNA, 376 nt
Filed under: Monacha cartusiana
Lineage: Eukaryota; Metazoa; Mollusca; Gastropoda; Stylommatophora; Hygromiidae
Description: partial large subunit ribosomal RNA
Rfam family: Bacterial large subunit ribosomal RNA
Source: RNAcentral
GAGAAUUUAAAUAGCCGCAGUACCCUGACUGUGCAAAGGUAGCAUAAUCAGUUGGCUUAUAAUUGAAGUCUAGUAUGAAUGGGACCACGGGAAUACUCUGUCUUUAAUAUAUAAAAGAAAUUACUAAUUAAGUGAAAAUUCUUAAAAGUAGAAAAUAGACGAGAAGACCCUAGAAAUUUUUUAAUUUUGAUUUUGUUGGGGCGACAGGGUAACAAAAAACUUACCUAAGAUAAUAGGAAAUUUUUUAGUGGUGUAUUUAAAUUACUCUAGGGAUAACAGCAUAAUAUUUUAAAGGUUGUGACCUCGAUGUUGGACUAGGAAAUACACUACUUAAAAGGUAGUGUAAAUGGUUCUGUUCGAACUUUUUCUCCUACAU